GAAUCCUCUGGGCGGACUGCGCUGACCACACCUGUUUACCUCUUAACGGUUUCACGCCCUCUUGAACUCUCUUCAAAGUUCUUUUCCACUUUUCCUUACUGUACUUGUUGGGUAUCGGUCUCGUGCCGGUAUUUAGCCUUAAAUGGAGUUUACCACCCGCUUUGGGCUGCAUUCCCAAGCAACCCAACUCAGGAAGAUCUGCCUGGGCCCGCUACCGGCCUCACGCCAUCCAAGGGCAGGGCCUCCAUCAGAAGGACUUGGGCCCCCACGAGCGGCGCCAGGGAGUGGGUCUUCCAUACGCCACAUUUCACCAGCCACGGCAUGCGGCGGGGAUUCGGCGCUGGGCUCUCCCCUGUUCAUUCACCAUUACUGAGGGAAUACUGGACUAAACACUGUGAAAAGCAAGUCCAGGCAGACCCGCCCUGCCGCUAGAACUAACAGACCAUAAAAGGAAAGGAAUGCAGAACAGACCAGGAGUACAGGACCUGACUCACAGGCCACCUGGCAGGAAGAGAUAAGCCCCGAGCCCCGGACAUCCAGGACGCCCCAAACCUGCCAAUGUGUGUAGCUAUACCUUAUUACCUCAUCAUGUGAAAUAGCCAAUCAUAUGUGAACAUGUCUAUGUGCCUCGUUUGAAUCCACCAAUCCCUGUAACUAUGCAUCUGCUUCUGUACGCCUGCUUCUGCUUCCCCAAUCCCUAUAAAAGCCCCAUGCUGGAGCUGCUGGGCGCGCAAGUCCUCCAAAGAGACUGUGUGCCCGCAGGUACCUGUGUUUUCCAAUAAACCCUCUUGCUGAUUGCAUCCGAGUGGACUCGGCUCAGUCAUUGGGCGCUUGGGACUCCUCCUGAGGGAAAGGUCCUCUCCGGGGGUCUUUCAUUAUGGGGGCUCACCCCGGGAUUUGGAGACCCUCCGCCCAGAGAUCACCGACCACCCACCGGGAGGUAAGCCGGCCGGCGUUUGUCUUGUCUGUUGUGUCUUGUCCUGUGAACGAUCGAUCAAUAGGCUCAGAUCUGGGGACUAUCUGGGCGGACCAGAGAAGGAGCUGACGAGCUCGGACUUCUCCCCCGCAGCCCUGGAAGACGUUCCAAGGGUGGUUGGAGGAGAGGGAGAUCCGGAUCCGUGGCACCUCCGUCCGUUUUCGGAGGGAUCCACACCCUUGAUGACUCCGUCUGAAUUUUAUUGGAGUAGAGGAUCCAAGACCCUCGCUGACUCCGUCUGAAUUUUUGGUUUCAGUUUGGUACCGAAGCCGCGCGGCACAUCUGCUUGUUACUUGUUUGACUGUUGGAAUUGUUUGUCUUCUUUGUGACCUGACUGUGGUUUUCUGGACGUGUUGUGUCUCUUAGUGUCUUUUUGACUUUUGUUUCGUGUUUGAAUUUGGACUGACGACUGUGUUUAAAAUCUUGGACCGGCGACUGUGUUUGAAAUCAUGAAACUGUUUGCUUUGUUCGUCGAAGAGUUUUACUUGGUCCCCUUAACGCUUAGUGAGUAAGAAACUUAAUUUUGUGGACCCCGCUCUAGUGGCGGUGUGUUGGUUGAUAGCCAAAGUUAAUUUUUAAAACAUAGUGUUUUGGGGGUUGGGGAUUUAGCUCAGUGGUAGAGCUCUUGCCUAGCAAGCACAAGGCCCUGGGUUCGGUCCCCAGCUCUGAAAAAAGGAAAGAAAAACAAAACAAAAACAUAGUGUUUUAUCUGUGCUUGUGCUUGCAGCCCGCUGUGAUGAACUGGGAAAGAUUUAAAUUUUCCUUGGGAGUAAGGAAUCUUAAAGGCAGAGUUUCAGCCGGUAUGGCACCUAGUGCGUAGCUGUCUAAAAGAUCAGAAAUGCUGUCAACAGGCUAUAAAAAAAGGGACAGGCAGUGUUAGAAAUGCUAAGGGAAGAACUAUCUAAAAAGAGCGAGGUGGGAGAGGACUAUAAGGAAAACAAGAAAGGAAUUUCUGACAUUUGCUCACAGAAGGAGAGCGCUCAUUAAGAGAAGUUCUUUAAGGAAGCCUGCCUUAUCUGCUAUCCUUAUUCCAAGGGAGGAGUCAGUCUCCAACAUUAAAUUACUUUUCUCGCUGAUCAUCAUUAACAUGGAGAGUGCCUUUGGUCCUAUCCCCACAGCAGCCAGUUCCUGCCCCUAUGGUUAAAACGCCCCAGGUUGGGGGACAAAAAGAGCCCCUAAAAUAGUUUCAAAGAAUCUACAACUGUGAAGAACUUUGUUUUGCCAGUCAGGAUUAGUGUUUUCUUUUCCAUGGGCCUAUAGCCCACUGAGACAGUUUGGUAAAGGGCUGUUACUAAAGUCCUGAAAGCCCCAGGUGAACUGGUUACAAUUCUUUUGUCAGCUGCUUAGUAUCUAGCACCCAGGUUCUAACCAUCUCUCCAUCCUUUUGUUAUUAGUUGUUACUAGAAGUCUAGUGUCAUUUGGAGGCUGGUUCUCUUGAGAGGCAAAGCCACCAAGCUGACACUGAAGGGAGGUAGGUACUCCUUAAGGGAAAAUCUAAGCCCAGAGAGACAGCCGGUAACAGCUAGGCUGCCUCUCUGCUCGCCUUUCUGUUUCAUAGACAAAGCUUGUGCUUAUAUUUACAGUGGCCUUUUUGUCCAAAAAAAGGCCUCCUGGUUUAGCUGUGUGACUAAAUGCUAUUUGUCCUCUUCAGUGGACCUCUCUCCUCUAGAUUCCCUUCUUGUUUUCUCACCAUCCCACGUGAGAUGCUUGUUAGUAACUGUUACAGAUCUUCUUUACCACCAAGGAAAGACAGAAUCCUGCUAGAGGCCAGAAAGAAUGUUCCAGACAUGGAUGGAAGGCUCCUGACUGUUGACUUCAAUACGCCUGAAGGUAGGGAGUGCUCCAGGUCUGCCCCCAGGCUCCAAGGGUGGGUCUCCUAGGGGCUGGAAAAAUGCCCCACCAAUCUGGCUAAGAUAAGGAAAGGGUAUGAAGAGAAAGUUACAGAAAUUUGAAGGGUUAAGCUAAGUUGCUGAGAGUUAGUAUAAGUUACAGAGAAAGUAAGGUUAAACAAAGAGAAAGAGAAAAGAAGGUAAAAAGAGCAGAAAGCUAGGGAAGAAAAGAGACAAAAAGAAGAGGAAGCUAGAGAGCUAAAGAGAGAUAAAAGACAAGAGAGGAACAUAUACUGGCCACAGUAGUUAGGGAACCUAGGAAGACAGUACCUGGCAACAAAAGAGAAUUCCUGGCUAAAAUCAGUGUGCCUAAUGCAAAGAAAAAAAAGACACUGGGUCAGGGACUGCCCCAGAAAGAACAAGAGGGGACACUGGAGAGCCUCUCGGUCCUGGAGUGCUGGCUAUGUGCAGAGAUAGGAGGGAAGCCUGCCCAGUUGUUUUAUGGAUACAGGGACCCAAUGCUCUGUGCUCCUAUGCUCCAGUGGGCCAGUAUCCAAAGACCUUGGGUACAGGGGCCUACUGGCAACAAACAAUACUUCUGGACUGCCCAAAGAACAGUGGACCUUGGCGUGGGCCGGGUAACCCACUAGUUCAUAGUCAUCCCUGACUGCCCCCAUCCCUUGCCCAUGAGAAAAUUGCUCCCCAAAAUGGCUUGCGUGGGCUGAAAUGGCUGGGUGAGGCCAUGUGUAUGCAUAUCUACAGACUGUGUAUGCAGAGCUUAAGACCUGUCUCAGUGCACCAGUACCUGAUGCUGGGAGAUGAAUGGCUUAGCGCUGUUCUACUUGGAACAUAUCACUCCUGCCAGCUGGGCACUAACAAUUAUCACCCAAUCCAGGACUUAGACUGUGAUAGAGUGGCUGAUGUUUGCCUUUGAAUAGAGUGUCCCAAAAGAUGGGACCACUGGUCAGCUGCCAUGGACUAGAUUCUCCACCUGUUGGGGGCAAUCUGGUCACCUUGCUGCCCAAUCCGACCUGGAGCCACCACAGCACGAGUGUCAAGCACUGGCAGAAGCCCAUGGGUGGAGGAAAGACCUCUGCGACUGGCUGAUUGACCCCUGCUGAAAGCCGAGGCUACCUUGUCCACAGACGGGAACAGUUCUCUUCAUGAAGGUCAGAGAUAAGUGGGUGCUGCCAUGGUGGACAACACAAAGUCAUCUAGGAUGGCUGAACCUCAACCCCCCAGUACAUCAGUGUCGCAGAUGCCUUUGCCAUCUCUUGGAUACCCUGGUGAAGCCAACAACUGUGAGUACUAUUCAUUGCUCAGGAUAUCAGGAGGGAAGAGAUUCAGUGGCAUUGGGCAGUAACAAAGCAGAUAAAGUGGCUCGGGAAAUGGCUAUGCAGGAGCCUAUCCUGGUUGCAGGCCUGCCAGAGACAGUCACUGAGAACUAGGAUCGGACUAAGGGAUGGCCUCACUUAGAAAAGGCCCAAACUGGGGCUGGAGAGAUGGCUCAGAGGUUAAGAGCACUGUCUGCUCUUCCAGAGGUCCUGAGUUCAAUUCCCAGCAACCACAUGGUGGCUCACAACCAUCUAUAAUCAGGUCUGGUGCCCUCUUCUGGCCUGCAGGUGCAUACAUGCAGGCAGAAAGCUGUAUGAUGUAUACAUAAUAAGUAAAUAAAUGUUUAAAAAAAAAAAAAAGAAAAGGCCCAAAUUGCUUAAAAGAUAAAGGACAAUGGCACACUUGAGGGGAAAGCUAUACUCCCCCAGAGAACAAAGAAAAGACUCACUUUGCCAAAUACAGAAAUGGACUCAUUUAGGAGAUAAAAAGUUUGUCCAAGUAGUUAAGUGUAUGUAAUAGACUUUAAGAUUUUAGCCAGAGAGGCAGUAGAAAGUAUAAGGUAUGUCAAUAAGUGAAUGCUUAGCAAGCAAACAGGGCAAAGAGACCUAGAGAGUUUGGUGAAAAGUCGAAGUGAACUUCACUGAGAUAAAACCAGAAAAAUAUAAUCACAAGUAUCUCCUAGUGCUUGUAGAUACUUUUUCAGGAAUAGAUAGAAGCUUUCCUCACCAAACGAGAGACGGCCUCUGCAAUCAUCAAGAAGAUACUGGAAGAAAUCUUCCCCCGAUUUGGAAUGCCCAAGGUAAUCUGGUCAGACAACAGCCCUACUUUCCUUGCCAAGGUAAGCCAGGGUGUGGCCAAGUAUUUAGAGGUCGAUUGGAAAUUACAUUGUAUUUACAGACCUCAAAGUUCAGGACAGGUAGAGUAAAUAAAUAGAACUCUAAAAGAGACCCUGACCAAAUUGACCAUGGAGACUGGCACAGACUGGGUGACACUCCUUCCCUCUUGCUCUCUUCAGAGCAAGAAAUACCCCUUCCAGAUUCAGCCUUACCCCCUUUGAGAUCUUAAAUGGGGCCUCAGCCCCCCUGACUGUAUUAGAUGAUGUUACUGAACCAACAUGUCAUAGUGCCAUAGUAAUAAUGAUUUGUGUGCCAGGCUAAAAGACCUACAGGUGAUACAGAAAGAAAUCUGCUCAGAGCUGGCAGCAGCCUAUGCCCUGGGGACCCCUGAGACAUCUCACCAGUUCCAGGUCGGAGACUCGGCUACAUACGAUGGCACCGAACCCAGAUACUCACUGGAAAGGACCGUACCUGGUGCUGCUGACCACCCUGACAGCCAUCAACUCUCAGCCCUCACCAGCCGUGUACUAGCUAUUGGGGCUGAAAGCUGGGACCUAGAGGGAAACUCAGAUCUUCAAAAAGCUCCCUAGACUUAAUUUCAUGUUUGCCCCGGGUUUUAUCAAGAUAGGUGUGGGGAUAGGCUUGAUUUCUAUUACAAAUGAUGUAACAUUGCAUAUGUUAGUACUCCUAACACUUCUUGGGACUGUGCCUCAGGGAUCACAAUCUGUAUAAGUUUAGAAGUUCUAAAAGCUAGUCAUGACCUUGGUGUGUAGGUUUAGAUAGUGUCCAGAUUGGAAUCCUGAUGCUAAAGACUUAGUAAGACAAAAAAAAGGAGUUGAGAAUUACUUAGGGCUAAGGCUAUCUAGGUGCUGCAAGGGCAGCACAAGGACAUCUGCUGUUGCAAUGCAAGGCUUAUAGAGAAUUGAGAACUGCCAUUCAGGAGUAAUUAAAGACUCCAUGAAUAAACUUAGAGAAAGGUUAGACAAAAGGCAGACAGAGAAGCACAUCAGGGAUGGUUUGAGAGCUGCUUUAGUAGAUCUCCUUGGAUGACUACUCUGGUAUUUUCCCUUAUGGGACCCUUCUUAGUUUUGCUUCUGCUUCUGAUUAUAGGUCCAUGUGUGUUAGAGAAACUAGUUAAUAGGUUUGACUCCUACAAAAAGAUAGAGACGCUCAACAAGGUUGGUUUGAGUCUUGGUUCACUCGGUCUCCCUGGAUGACUACCCUACUCUCUGCUAUAUGGCUGGGCCAUUACUAAUAAUUUUCUUGGUUUUAGUUUUUGGACCCUGCGUGACAAACAGGUUAAUUGCUUUUGUUAAAAAUCGAGUGGGUGCUGUGCGGUUGAUGGUUCUGAGACAACAGUACCAGUCAGUUAGGACAACUGGCGAGGUCAAAUGAGAAACUUAACACUAAAAUCCUAAGGUUAGAAUUUGGUAGUAGAAGGAGAGGGGAAUGAGAGAUAAAAUUUUAAAUUAACUCAAAACACAGUAACAAGAUCUGACUGAGGAAGACAGAUGGCUAAAAUUGCAGAAGAACUGAUACUGACACAGUUGUUUUAUCACCAGUGUGAGCAGUCGUUCUGUCUCAGUGAUGUUUGUUUAAGCCCCUUAUACCUUGCAGAGAGCAUUCCAGGAAACCUGCCGGCCCAAAGCCUAACCAGAUGUGUUUCAGAUGCAGAUGCUUCAUCAACUCCGACCCACAUUUACUCUGACAGGACAAGAGAUAAGAUUUGCUCUCGGAAUAAUGAGGACUCAAAGACCCGACCCUUCUCCUGAUUUAGUAGCUUUGUUCCAGAAAUGGGGGGCCAUAAAACCUUUUGGCGUUCCCCUCAUCUCCUGGGGCCAUAAAACCUUUUGGCGCCCUGGUGCCCCCUUAUCCUCUAGAGUCAUAAAACAAUUAGACAUCUUACAACUCUGUGAUAUCUCUGGCAUUCCUUUCUGAUAUCCCCUUUUUUCCCUGAGGCUCGAGGCCUCUCCCCUUUAAAAAGCCCCUCUCCCAACCACUCGGGAUCAACAUCCCUGUCUCCUGCAUGGGACACAUGUUGAUCCGGAGAUCUCUGUAAUAAACCUCACCUUUUGUGUAUUACAUUCAA
Molecule: non-coding RNA, 7065 nt
Organism: Rattus norvegicus (Norway rat)
Lineage: Eukaryota; Metazoa; Chordata; Mammalia; Rodentia; Muridae
Source: RefSeq, a predicted model, not a curated record